CAAGCAAGCGAACAAGCAAAAAACAAAAAAGAAAAACAGAACAAAAAGUGUAAAGAAGGCAUAGCCAAAAUCCCUACGCAUUCUGAAGAACUUGCAAUUUACUUGAUUUAGUGGCCCAUUUUUGUUGUUGUUCCACUGAAAAUCAAUGGCUUUUUAACUUUUGAGUUUGUUUGGGAUUUUUUUUUUUUUUUUUUACAAAUAUCCUUUUUCUAAAAUAAGGGUCAAACCUCUGCACGGACAGACCACAGGGACUGGGGAGCGCCGCCUUGUGUAGACCUCAUGCUGCCUCGAGGUUUUGUCUUUCUCCAGACUGCUGUGCUGCUGCAUGACCACAUAAUGGAGUAUUUCGUUUAUUGUGUUAACCUAAAAAUGUAGUGUUUAUGAUGCUUGAGUGCAAUUUGUGAAGGAUCCAGAAAAUCUUCCCAGGAUUUAGCUAAGGAAAUGGUUAUAACCAAUUAACACUGAACUUUUUGGACAAUAUUUUAAGACUUCACUGACAUAAUGCCUGCGCACUGUCAAAGUGGAAAAGCUAUACAGUAAAACUGACCCCAGAAGCAAUGAUCAAUUAAUCGAAGAGUGAAAAUGGAAACCAAUUAUUCUGACCUAUUGCACUCAUGUGAAAGCCACGAUCCUUAAUCUGCUUUGUCACAAUGAUUAUGACCGUUUUGUCUCCACCAUUUUGCAUCUUAGUAUUCCAGAAAUUUUAUCCAACGUUUUUAACGUGGAAAGUAGAAUGCAAUCUCUUCUGGUAGAGCUACAAGAAAUCUUUUAAGACUUUGUUCUUUUUACAGUUCUGUCAAAAUAGAUUUAGCAAGUAGUUUGCAUAUUAUUU
RNAcentral lists this long non-coding RNA (832 nucleotides) under Equus caballus (horse). RNAcentral describes it as "lncRNA (ENSECAG00000054221.1)". Lineage: Eukaryota; Metazoa; Chordata; Mammalia; Perissodactyla; Equidae. The record is from RNAcentral.